CAACUUACACUUUCUACUCAAAAAAUCAAUCUACAAUCUCUAUUUGUUUCUUUGUGUUAUUGUGUGAUCUUUGAAAAUGGCGAAUUACCAGAACCAAUAUGGUGCAACGGCCCAAUCUACAAAUGAUUACGGGAACCCACUCACCAACUACACCGGAUCAGAGCCCCAAUCUACAAAUGAGUACGGGGCUACAGAUGAGUAUGGGAACCCAGUCACCACCUACACCAGAUCAGAGCCCCACUAUACAGAUGAGUAUGGGAACCCAGUACGCGAAAGGGGGAUGAUGGACAAGAUCAAGGAGAAGCUCCCAGGUACUCAUGACCCCUACUCAUCUCAUUCUCAGACAACCUACCCCACUGCACGUUACGGUGAAACCGGCUACACUGGAUUGGAGCAGCACCAUGGGAUGAUGAACAAGAUGCCAGGUACUGACCCCUACUCAUCUCAUUCUCAUACAACCGGCACCACUGCACCUUACGAUGGAACCGGCUACACCGGAACAGAGUACCGCCAGCACAAGGGCACGAUGGACAGGAUCAAGGAUAAGCUGACUGGGACUGGUGGACAUAGGGUGGAUGAUCCCUACUCAUCUCAUUCUCAUAAAACCGCCACCACCACACCUUACGGUGGCACCACCACCACAGCUUACGGUGACAGCACCACCACACCUUCACCUUACGGUGGCACCACCACCACACAUUCACCUUACGGUGGCACCACCACCACAGCUUACGGUGACACCACCACCACACCUUCAGCUUACGGUGGCACCACCACCACACCUUCAGCUUACGGUGGCACCGCCACCACCACCUACCCCCGUGAAAAGAAGGGCAUCAUGGACAAGAUCAAAGAGAAACUUCCUGGUGGACAUCAUUAUUAAUAAUAGGGUUAUGUAAGAGAUAGAUACGUUAGGUAUCGUUUUGUGUUCAAUGUUUUAGUAUGACGUGUAUAAUAAGCGGUG
Molecule: long non-coding RNA, 964 nt
Filed under: Prunus persica (peach)
Lineage: Eukaryota; Viridiplantae; Streptophyta; Magnoliopsida; Rosales; Rosaceae
Description: long non-coding RNA (PPER_LNC007441)
Source: RNAcentral